UACGAAGGGGCUAGCGUUGUUCGGAUUUACUGGGCGUAAAGCGCACGUAGGCGGAUCGUUAAGUCGGGGGUGAAAUCCUGGAGCUCAACUCCAGAACUGCCUUCGAUACUGGCAAUCUCGAGUCCGAGAGAGGUGAGUGGAAUUCCGAGUGUAGAGGUGAAAUUCGUAGAUAUUCGGAGGAACACCAGUGGCGAAGGCGGCUCACUGGCUCGGUACUGACGCUGAGGUGCGAAAGCGUGGGGAGCAAACAGG
RNAcentral lists this ribosomal RNA (252 nucleotides) under uncultured bacterium. Its description in RNAcentral is "partial 16S ribosomal RNA". It matches the Rfam family "Bacterial small subunit ribosomal RNA", at positions 524 to 776 of the family's 1533-position model. The record is from RNAcentral.